RNA transcript from Lates calcarifer (barramundi perch), 6374 nucleotides. It is a transcript of the gene named serine/threonine kinase 11 interacting protein, with no coding region annotated. The record is from RefSeq and is a predicted model, not a curated record. NCBI's taxonomy places the organism in Eukaryota, Metazoa, Chordata, Actinopteri, Centropomidae. The transcript has 31 exons.
UACCGUAGAAGCUUUAUGCAGCUGUCAUGUGAUGCAAAAAAUGUCAACAUCAGCGUACACUUCACCAUUAGACCAACAAAUUACAACUAAAACGUGUUUUUUCUUCACGUACAAAAAAUAACAUGCUGUAGUGCUUACUUGUGGAAGUGAGAACUUGAUGUUAGCUGUGUAUUUCUCGGCUGUCACUGCAGAGGAUGGCUGUAUCUCACACUGGCCAGUCCUCCCUUGUACACAGCUUGGCCACACUCCUCCGAAAUGAUGGUGACUUGGUGCUGGAUGGCAGCAGCACGCUGACCUUGCCGGCAGCCAGCUUGCAGCACCUCACCAGGCUGUUUGAGCAGUACUUGCUGUCCAGGAGCCAACAGCAUGGCUUCCUGGCACUGCCCUCCCACCCCGCAGAGACUGCUUCCCUGCUGCAGCUGCAGUUCCUGUUUGAUGUCCUGCAGAAGACCAUCUCCCUCAAGCUCAUCAACCCACCGGAAGUGAGACUUCAGUCUGUGGUGAAAAUCUUCCCGUUCAAGUCACUGAAGUGUUUGGAGCUAAAGAGAAUCCCGCCACACUGUCUGGAGGGACUCAGAGGAGUUUACUCCCAGCUGGAGGUCUUCACCUGCUCAAAGAGCCUCAGCUCCCUGGAGGAAUUACUUUCUCUCUGUGGAGGUGACCUGAGCUCCGCACUGCCUUGGCUGGAGCUGCACACCCUUAACUUCAGCUACAACCACAUUGUCUGCCUUGACCAGUCACUAAGUUUACUAAAUGUCCUGAAAACUCUGGAUCUAAGCCAUAACAAGAUUCAGGAGUGUGCUGAAUUUCUAAAGCCCCUGAGUGAACUGGAACACUUGAACCUGGGCUACAACUGCCUGCAGAGGGCGCCAACGCUGGGCCUGAGUGCCAGGGUCAAACUCCUCACACUCAUCCUCAGGAACAAUGAAUUGGAGACUAUAAAUGGUGUGGAGCAGUUGUCCUCACUCCAGCACUUAGACCUGGCCUACAACCUCCUGUUGGAGCAUUCCCAACUAGCUCCUCUCUCCUUGCUGCACUGCCUCAACACACUUAAUCUGGAGGGCAACCCGCUGUACUUCCAGAAGACCCACCGCACCUCCACCGUCCGACAUCUCUCCCCAAAGGCUGCCAAUCUCCGACUAAAACUUGAUGGUAUCCAGCUCUCCUCAUAUGAGUUAUCAGUUCUGCCCAAAUCAGGUCAACUGAUAACCCAGGUCCAGACUUUGCCUCCAGUUGCCAUGCCAUCAGAGCGGAGUAACCAGGAAGUAUCCAGCGGUGCUGGGGAGCUCAGUGACAGUGUAUCAGUUGGAGAAGUGGGGGUUGCACACAUUCGCAAGAAGAAAUCCAGGAGUAAGGUCAAAGUACGGAGGGCCAGCAUAUCUGAGCCCAGUGACACAGAUUAUGAACCCAGACAGCCUUCCACACAGAGCAUUGUCCUUCCCCACCAGCAGGAGAUUGAGCGCAUGUCUAACUUCAGAGAACAGCUGGGGGACGAUUGGCUGAGGUACCAGCACCAUCUAGAUGGAGGUUCCCCCUCUGCCAUCACAACCACUGUCAGCACCAGCCAGCCAACCCCUCACCAUCAAAAUCUCCCCAACGGCCUCAGCACCACCACCCCGUGUCCAUCCAGCAGCCCCGGGAAGCAGCUGUCUCCAUCGUCGCUGGAUGUCCCGGAGAUCCUCCCGCCUCCUCUUCUCUCCUCUGAGCCCAGGGUUGAGACUUGUGAUGUGGAUGGAGACCAGGAAACAGAUUCCACCCUACAGUGGCCCGGUCAGGGCAUACAACACACAGAGUCCACCCUGGAGGACAGCACGGUGGAUGGUCUGGUGGUGAGCCAUGGAGUCAAUAGCUCUUCUGGGCCAAGUUUAGAGUCCCAAAGGUCAGCUAGAGCAGACAGCAGAGGCACUAAGGAAGAAGAAGAGGAGGAGGACCUGGGAGUGAACCUGUGUCACCCCCUACUUGUGGGUAUCUUAUUCGACAAAGAGGAGGAAGACAACAGUGGCCGGGGGGUCAAGGAGAGGAAGAGGAGGGAGGUGUUUCUGUGCAUAAAACAGGGCCUGGUGCUGGAGGUGGACAUGCAGCGUGGCCAGGAGAGAUGCCGCCUGGAGCUGGACAGCCUGGCUCGGGUGGAGACCACAGAGGCCACAUGGGUCUGUGGGGAUACAGAAGAGAUGCGUCCAGCUGUGGAGCUUCAGUUCGACUACAUCAGCAGGGAGAAAAGGAGGAGACGCUACGUCCUGCUGGAUGAUGACCCACAGCAGGCACUACAGGCUCUGAUUGAUGUGCUGUCUCCUGUGGCGGAGGAAAACCAGCGCCGUGACUCCGAGCUGCGCCCCAGCUGUGUUCGCCUGCAGUGCCUUCGCUGCAGGUCAGAGUUUGAACUCCAGGGAGAAGGCAGUGAAGAGGAGGCGGGAGGGAGAGCGAGGCGGAGAGGGGCAGCGAUGCUCCCCGAGGGUGUGGAGGAACAGGGCGGGGAGGAGCCGAUGACAGAGGCAGAAUGUGAUGAUAACAGCAAAGGAAACAGUAAUAUUUGUCCAGAAUGUGGUAGUGAUCAUGUGGUCCAGCUGGCUGGCCUAUCAACUCCCUACAGCAGUACACCCAUCCACCGUCCAUCAAGGCCCGACAGUGAGGACGAUCAUCUUGAUGUAACCCAGAGCACCUGCAGUGCUAAUAAGGACGACUAUACAGAUGCCACAAUGAGCAGCAGUCCCAUCCUGGAGACUGCCACCACUACGGAAGAUCAAACCUUUGUCACUGCCCAGGGAAGCUCCUUCUUCAUCGGGGACGCUCCUGGUGAUAACUACAGCCUGUCCUACAACACAGAAUGCCAAAGUAAAGAAGACCUGGCUGGAAGCUACCACUACACUGCUACUGGUGCGACACCACCUCAAGUCCAAGCCCAGCCUGCAGGAAGAUCCACUCCUAUCGAUGAUGUGGACCUGCUGUCUGAGGACUAUGAAGCGGUGGAUCACCGGCUGAAGCUUUUCCUGGACGUGGAGGUCUUUGAGGAGGAAGAAGAGCUUCACUCGUUCCUCAAGAUGUCAGCUGUCAAAUUUGGGGAGCCAGGGGAGGUUCCCUCUCUGUUGGUGGUGUCAAACCAGCGAAUCUAUUUCCUGGAAAUGACAUCAGAGAUGCACAGAGGCCAGCUCUCUGACUGGCUGCAGAAGAGGGACAGCCACCCAAUCAUGGAGCUCAGCUACCUGGAGGUGGGGCUGGGGUCUCAGAGCAUCCACAUGGAGUUCGGGGACCGGGGCAUGGCCUACACCCUCCUCGUGAGAGACAGUUUACGUUGCAAGCGCUUCUUUGGCUUGUUGACAGGGAUUGUGCGUGAGAUGGCUCACAAAUCAGACAGCAAGCUGAAGUCCAUCUCUACCACAAGACUCAACCCUCAGCACCACCUCUGGCCUCUGGUGUGCGAAGACAUCCAGGCAGAUGUGGAGGACGGCCAGCUGCAGUUUUUCUAUAUUCUGGCUUUUGUCCUGCAAGAGGACUUUUGGACACCGUUGACAGUCCUGGCAACCCGGGAAACCCUCUACCUGCUCAAAGAAGAUCACCAGUGGACGAAAAGCUUAACAGGGAGGGAAAACAAAGAGCCGUGCAGUGGGAGCGUUGCCGUUUUAGAAACUCUGCCAAUCAGCUGUGUGAGCUCAGUCCACCUGUGGCCUUCAGAUGAAUGCAGGAUAGAUAUUAAGCUUUACGACGAGACUGUGAAACAGGAGAAGACGUGGUGUGUGCGCUCAGAGAGCACUGAGCUCCUUCAGGGUCUGCUGGCCUGGGUCAGAGCACAGUGGGAGGCCAUGUUCGGAGUGAAACUGCACACAACCCUGCAAGACAAAGCAGCAUAAUGGGGGAGGGCAUGAAAAAAAAAGGAAAAAGUUAGAGACUAUGUGUGUGUGCCCCAUUGUGUUUUGUGAGCAUGAAUCUGAGUGUUGGUACUGGGAAAUGUUUAGUGAGCGUGAGCGAGUGUGUCUUUAUUUUCUCUGUACACAGUCUGCACUCAGUCUGGUCCCAUUAGGCUCGUUGCUUUCAAAGUCUUUUAAGCCAAGAACUUGGAAAUGAUUGCUCUCAUUCAUGUGGUACACAAGCAUGGUUGCAUAAUUUUUCCUCCGGAUACCAUCCCACUGAACUUUUCUACAGCUGAAAAUGGAGUGUGCCUUGUUUCUUUUGCCGCUGCCAUGUUUCUUAUUGAAAUGCACCUUAAUGCAUCUUGUAUUGUCCCUCAUUCAUUGUAGCAACACGGAGCAGAUUUUAGGGGGUUUGGAACUGAGAGAGCAUUGUUGGAAAGAUUUUUGGGGGAGUAAUGCAAGAAGCUGAGCCUUAAACAUGUCCACCCCCUCUCAUUAAUCUGGACAGUCUUUCCUCGCCAUCUUAGGGUGCAGUGAGUUGUGGCAUCACGCGCUCAACACGAGGCUGGGGGUGCUUCUGAAAGGCCAAGGCUCAAGUCCGUCAUGGAGGAUCACUUCACACCAGUUAGGGUCACAUGAUGUGUCUCUGCACUGUGUGUGGUUUUCCUUUUCAGAGUCCAGUCACACAUUUACUGACGGAGAGAAAGAUUUUGCUUGCUCACUUCACAACCGCAGCAUUAAAAGUCUUUCCAGAGAAAUGUUUAUUUCCCCCCACACAGAACAGAGUGACACCACAAAUUGUCAUCCACAUCAACAAAACGCACUUUUUGGCCUCUCAACGCCAACCUGCCAUUCCCACCCCCCCAAGCGAAGCUCAUUUUGAGUCCAAGCUCAGCUGUGUGAAAGAAGAAGGUCAAAGGUCAGGUGCAGAACAUCACACUUGGAGCUUAAAUGGACACAGUGUCUUGCUCAAAGACACCUCAGCAGGGGAGGCCAGGGAUUAAAGAAGAGUCAAAGUGUUGUGAGUCUCCUCCAUCCUUCCAGGAACAACCUUCCACUGAUGCAAUACUGAAUCCUUUUGUUUUGGGCCUACGACAUGGUCAAAUUAAUGAGCCCAGAAACUCAGGCUUAAAAAAUCCAUGAGUCAUAACGACUGCACGCCACGAAUUUAUGUCACAGUUUUAUGUUUUGGGAGGAAACAAGCAAUCAAACCUGAUACUAAAACAUAACCACAACAUGCGUGCAUUUAGUAGGGAGGAGGCAGUGAGACAUGCAGGUGGGCAAAAAUCAAACGUGCUCCUCACCAGUGAGUCCUGCCCUUAUUCAAGCAGUUAAUAUAUGCACUGCAGGAGGGUAGGAAGGAAUUUUGAGCCCCCACGAGGCUCUCACCCCACCCCCCAUUCCCAUUUUGGCUUAAAUUGCAUAACCUUAGUGUCAUUUUGUGGCCCCCGGCCAACUAUGAGCACCCAACUGUCCCACCUUUCACCCCUCUGCAGCACAAAUUCAGUGAUAUUUAGGAUGUUUAUCAAAGAAUCUAUGAGUGAAAAUGCAAGAUUAAGACUCCUUAAGAUAUUGACUAUUUUGUCUGUGAAUAAGUGAUGGUGAAAAGGUGGAGGUGAAUGAGUUCGUGCCUCCCUUGGAUCAUAUUUGAGGACCAGAGGAAAGCUAGGGUGGAUAGUUAGUAUGAGAGGAAGCUGGGAUGCAGCCACAGCGAUUUGGCUGGGCGCAGACAUCUGGCCUGAUUCGACUUCCCACAGCCUCCUCCAAACAUUUCAGGUCCUCUGGUAAAUCAGGAGCACUACAGCUGCACUGUGCAUGACAGCAAGAAAUCUGUUGUUUUGCUGAACGCUCAAGUCAACUAAAUUCUUGGAUGGUGGGCCUCUUCUUCUAAAAGCUGCAGUCACGCAGUGCUCUGUCAGGGCCGGUGGGCUGCCAAGCUGUGGUCCAGGGGAUAACACGGGGUCCUCAGCAGAAAGAGGAAUGAUUAGAUUAUAGUGUUGUGGCACUCAGUGUACUUUUUAGCAUAAAAAAAACAAGAAUGUAAACAGAUAAACAGAUUCUAACGAUACAAAUCCUCUCAAGUGGAGUUCUUCUGGAUAUGAAAGUGGUUUAAGGGGCAUUCCACAAAUUUUACACGUCAAGAUCAGUUAAAGUUACAUAGAGUGCCAUUUAGCCUUUGAAAACAGUUGUAUAAUGUCACGUGUGGCUGUGGAGAAGCUUUGUAAAGUCAGGGAAAUCAUCGGGGCUUGUGUGCAAUUAAUCUUUUUUUAUGAAUUCAAUCAACUUUCAUAAGAAAUGUAUUUAACUAUAUAUGGAUUUUAUUAUCAGUGAUGGUUGAACUUUAUUUCAUUUGGCAGCCAAGUGUAAUAAUGUGCAGUUCCUUUAAGAACUAUAGAAAGGUCAUAGUGGCUUUAUUGUGCCUCAUGGUAUUUUUAUCUCCUAUGAAAUUUCUAUAAAGUCCCCAUGGACGCCUGAGGUUUAACUGUGACACUUGUAUAGCAUCAUCACAUUAUAAAACAUAUAAUAGGA